GAUGAUCUCGGUCGUCCAUGAACGAGU
This 27-nucleotide non-coding RNA is filed under the name Cricetulus griseus (Chinese hamster). The record is from RNAcentral. Lineage: Eukaryota; Metazoa; Chordata; Mammalia; Rodentia; Cricetidae.